UUGCCAGGCAACACAGAGGCCUGGUUCCCAGGUGUGUGGACCCUGGUGCUUCAGGUCCUGGGGCAUCUAUCUGGAGCAGUAGCUCUCCUAUUGGUCAUGUGGUGCUCGUGGUGCUGUUCAUUCUACCCUCCUCUACCACUACCAUGUCCAAGCCUACUCGUCAAGACUGUGGCCCAGUUCAUCUGUAACCUCACAGAGGAGACCCUGGCAUCGCUGAGUGCUGCUGUGACUUAAUCCAAGCCUCAACUGGCCACAUUCUGGCUCUGUACCAAAGCUCAGUUGGUCCUCUAACUCCUGCUAAGCUCCUUACAACUAUUCAGAUGGUGAAAAAAAUCCCAAGUGCUGAGACUGGGAGUUUCAAAGAAUUCACAGUUUAGGAAGCUCUGCUGAAUGGCUUGGUGGCCAUGAGGUGUAGAUGAGAGUUUCUAUCUGAGAUCAUUAGCAAAUGUGACGCCAUUGGCUAUAACAUUCAAAGACUGACCUUUUAUAUCUGACUUCAUUUAAGUUCUUACUUGAAUGUUCUUGGACCACAUGUGAUGAGACUGAUGUCUGAAUAAAAUAAGAGCUAUCAAAAA
This is a long non-coding RNA of Peromyscus eremicus (cactus mouse), 575 nucleotides long. RefSeq lists it as uncharacterized. The transcript has 2 exons. NCBI's taxonomy places the organism in Eukaryota, Metazoa, Chordata, Mammalia, Rodentia, Cricetidae. The record is from RefSeq and is a predicted model, not a curated record.